This is a long non-coding RNA of Triticum dicoccoides, 2779 nucleotides long. RefSeq lists it as uncharacterized. The record is from RefSeq and is a predicted model, not a curated record. The transcript has 3 exons. Lineage: Eukaryota; Viridiplantae; Streptophyta; Magnoliopsida; Poales; Poaceae.
UCCGCCGCCGCACGCGAUUCUGAUCGACGCCAUGGCCGCUCGUUCGAGCGAAAGUGCUCCGGCGAAGUUGUGCCGCCGCCGGCACCGCCACCACAACCACUACCGCUCGAGGUCGGUGGAUUGGCGGUGGACGACGUCGCCCAGGCCAACAACAUCAUCCAGCGCCUCAACGACUUCCCCUCCAUGGCGCACAUCUCCGGGAUGGGCCUCACGGUCGUGCCGAUGAUCGCGGCCUUCUCCAACCUCUGCGCAGUUAACCUCUCCGGCACCGAUGAUGAAAUCAUUUCUGCUAUCGCUGCAUUACUACAUCCUCCGCUUGCUCAUAUAUCAUGCUAUGUAGGAUGUUUGCCUUUCUUCAUUCCGUGUCUGUGACCUCUAGCCAUUUGUCAGACGUUUUUUUUUUCUUAGUUUCAAUUUUGCCCGGCAUCUUGCUCGCUCCCUUGUUAUCCAGCUGACUUCUUGUUGACUGUUGCUUGUUACAGGAAUUGCCUUGCUCGUUUGCUCAAAGGUUCUGUAUCCCCAGAGUGUAUGUAUCACUCGGAACUGAGAGUCUGCUCCUGACAGGUACAUUUGUUUUCUAAUACCUACAUCUUAUAUCUAUGCACCAUCGAGGAUCUGAAAUCAGUUGUCCAGUUUGUCCCUCAAAGAACGUAGUUAGUCCUUUUCCUAUGGUGUAAGGACAUGCGUUUCGUAUACAUGAUUUCCCAGCAGCAAUUUAUACACAAGCUAACUCCAAAGAGAUGACUGAUCAGGCUAAUCGCAAAGCUAUUCAGGGAGGGAAGGCGUAGUACUAGAAGAGGAAAAGACGCAGAUGUUGUCAUCUUGACACCUGACACUUGAACCAUCUUGCCAGAAUAUCUGAAAUACGAAUUUGUGAAAAUGUUCUACCAUACUCUAUAUCCAUCUCAGAUUAAAUUCCAAACAUGCAACCCACUUUUAAGACCGUCAUGAAAGAGUUGAGAUGGUGGUCCUUUUAGGACACCUUUUUUUGUUACUAUAAGAAAUUGUCUUCGUAUUUAUUUAUGUAUGUAUAUUAUGAACAAUUUUUCAUCCUACAAUGUUUUUUGGGUUAUUACUUAUUACUUACUAACUGGAGCACCUCAUGUUUUUAAAAGGAAACUAACAUGAAACAACUUAUUUCAGUAUGUUUAUCUUCCCCUAUGAUGUAUAUUUAGUCAAGUUUAGCCUUUGCGAUGGAAUUGUAUAUAACAACAUUAGUUGUCCUGUUCACUUUCAACAAUGAACAACAAAGAUUUCACCGCCAGAAAAAAAAAGAUAUGGAUUAGCAUCCCUCUAGACAAUUAAGAAAAUGCAAUCGUUUCAAGGAUUUCAGUCAUCCCUUGUGGCUUUAGGAACUAUAUAACAACAACGUCCGUAUGUAUUUUUAUACAGUUUUUUCUUCUGUAGUUAAGAUUUUCUUGUGCAAUGUAUCUAAUAUCAAUCAUGUACAUUUUUUUGUAUGUGCUUAUACCUUGAAAUAAUAGAGCCAUUUUACUGAACACCAAAGGCAAUAACAAAGGCAAUUUUUAUCCCUUGUGGCUGAAUUUUUUCUGAAUCAGUUUAACUGUGUUGGUCAUACAAUUCGCUCGGAGCAAGAACAAAUUCAACAAGGCAAUAAAACAAAGCGUGGAGCGCCUAAAGGACAUCCAAUACUCUCAGGGAAUUCGAGGAGGUACUGCUCUUUUACUGAACAACAUGGUCACGCUUUUUUAUUGAGAGAAGCAUGCUCACCUUGAGGCAUCCUGCGGCCAUGUAUGACGUUGUGAUAGUCAUAUGCUGAUUUUGUGAGAUAUCAUGGUGUCCUUGACUUUGAACAUUAGUUAUAAAUAAGAUGAGAAGUUGUAUCGAUAGCAUCGGUUUUAUUCCCUUGCAUCAAAAUGAAGAAUUUCCUCGCUAGAUUUUCAUAACAUAAAUAUACCACCCGGAUCGCUGCCGAAGGUUCUGCACUCGUUGGAUAUGUCACGGAACAAGAUAACAAAUGUCGAGGGGCUCCGGGAACUAAUGAAGCUGCGCGUGCUCAACCUCAGCCACAACUGGAUUUCAUCCACAUCAGCCUGGGUACAUACUUGCAGAUAACAUGAUGGUAAGAAGGCAAGAAGCAGGUACCUGUAUAGGUGGGUUUUUGGAGUCUCAGAGGGGCACAUAUGAAGUAUCCACGCUAAAAGCAUGCCGAGUACCUCAUGGCUUGUAUCAGUGCCCAGCUUGACGGCGAACUAUUCUCUGAAAAGCUUGCUAAUGAAUCUCUGUUCAAUUAUUGGGGGCUACAUUCCUUCUAAACUUCUGCGGCGUUAUCAACGCGAUCUUAAAGUGCAAGGUGUGUGCGCACAUAUAACACUUAGAAGAUUAUUGUGAAUCUUAAGGAAGGAGCACAUCUCAAGGCUAAGCAUUUUGUGCUCUUAUCUUGGGUAAUAUCCGCUCUUUAAUAUACAAGAAGUUCAACUCUGGAGUAGUUGUCAGGAAAGCAAAGAUCUAAGUCAGGUAAGGUAGUAUGUAUGCAUCUUCAGUUACUAUUUUUGCAGCAUGUCUGAAGGUAAAAAUAGCAGCCUGAUGCCAUGUACAACACUACAAAAUGAAGGGUUUUCCAGCAUGAGUGGCAGGAGAUGCAAAUCAAGAAAUUUGCAUACUGUAAAGUGUGCUCCUUCAUGUAGCUACAUAUAUUGUCUUGGUUAAGGAAAUUCUAAAAUGAAUGUUUGCUGAAAUUCUCAUGUAGAUUUAAAUAUUAGCUUUGAAUCAUGUUUCAAAUACCAGCAUAUAGGCAGCCUUGAAAGAGAUCAUGAGA